RNAcentral lists this ribosomal RNA (644 nucleotides) under uncultured Bacteroidota bacterium. RNAcentral describes it as "bacterial SSU rRNA". It matches the Rfam family "Bacterial small subunit ribosomal RNA", at positions 28 to 665 of the family's 1533-position model. Lineage: Bacteria; Pseudomonadati; Bacteroidota. The record is from RNAcentral.
GAUGAACGCUAGCGGCAGGCUUAACACAUGCAAGUCGAGGGGCAGCGCGGGGCGGCAACGUCCUGGCGGCGACCGGCGGAAGGGUGCGUAACGCGUGAGCGACAUGCCCGUUGCCCGGGGACAACCGGUGGAAACGCCGACUAAUCCCCGAUGGGACGGAGGCCCUCAUGGGUCUCUGUUGAAAGUUACGGCGGCGACGGAUUGGCUCGCGUCCGAUUAGCUUGUUGGCGGGGUAACGGCCCACCAAGGCUACGAUCGGUAGGGGUUCUGAGAGGAAGGUCCCCCACAAUGGAACUGAGACACGGUCCAUACUCCUACGGGAGGCAGCAGUGAGGAAUAUUGGUCAAUGGGCGGAAGCCUGAACCAGCCAUGCCGCGUGCGGGAAGGAGGCUCUAUGGGCUGUGAACCGCUUUUGCCUGGGGGCAAUAAGGGCGUCGCGCACGUCCGAUGAGAGUACCAGGGGAAUAAGCAUCGGCUAACUCCGUGCCAGCAGCCGCGGUAAUACGGGGGAUGCGAGCGUUAUCCGGAUUCAUUGGGUUUAAAGGGUGCGUAGGCUGUGCGUCAAGUCAGGGGUGAAAUUCCGGGGCUCAACUCCGGGGCUGCCCUUGAUACUGUCGCGCUGGAGUGCGGAUGCCGCCGGAGGA